UCCCCAGCAGCCCAGUGGUUAAGGCUCUGUUCUUCCACUGUAGGGAGCGUGGGUUCAAUCCCCGUUUGGGGAA
Molecule: transfer RNA, 73 nt
Filed under: Ovis aries (sheep)
Lineage: Eukaryota; Metazoa; Chordata; Mammalia; Artiodactyla; Bovidae
Rfam family: tRNA
About the family: Transfer RNA (tRNA) molecules are approximately 80 nucleotides in length. Their secondary structure includes four short double-helical elements and three loops (D, anti-codon, and T loops).
Source: Rfam by way of RNAcentral